RNAcentral lists this unclassified non-coding RNA (282 nucleotides) under Hevea brasiliensis (rubber tree). The record is from RNAcentral. Lineage: Eukaryota; Viridiplantae; Streptophyta; Magnoliopsida; Malpighiales; Euphorbiaceae.
AAAGAUUAAGGAGCUAGAAGACAAGCUGAGAGAACAAGAAAAGCAAUUACAGUGUAUGCAAAAUCAAGAUUUUCCUGGUAUAAUAAGGGCCACACCUAAUGCAGGAAAAACCUGCAUGAGAGAUGAUGAAUUCCUGAGGAGUUCAUCAAGUUAUGUCCUGAGGAGUUCAAACUCAAUUAACUGUCCAUCAAGUCAUGGCUCUGCACUGCCAAAAGGAAAUGAUACUCUCGUCCAUGAGUCAAGGAAGAAAAGACAAUACAGAAGUGGAGAAAUAGAGAACAA